RNAcentral lists this ribosomal RNA (119 nucleotides) under Pteropus alecto (black flying fox). The record is from RNAcentral. Lineage: Eukaryota; Metazoa; Chordata; Mammalia; Chiroptera; Pteropodidae.
GUCUAUGGCCAUGUCACCCUGAACAAGCCCGAUCCCGUCUGAUCUCGGAAGCUAGGCAGGGUCAAGCCUGGUUAGUACUUGGAUGGAAGACUGCCUAGGAAGAUCAGGUACUGUAGGUG